UUCAUAAUAAAUAAAAAUCAUUCAAUACAUAAGUGCAACAAGAUAUUUAAUCCACACUUUAAAUAUGAAUAUUCCCAAUAACAAGAUUCAAGUGUUGAAAAAAACACUACACACUUAACAAAGCAAUGAAAUGACGAAAUGAACAUGAAUGGGUAAGCAAUUCUCAACCAAAAGCUUCAAAUCUUCAAGACCCAAGUGUGUGUGCAAGAACCCUAGCUCCAAAACUUGUGUUCUCUUGUCAAGAUAUGUCAAAGAUGUCCAGAGAUUGGCCAAAUAUGUGCAUCCAAUAAGCUAGGUCAUGUAUUAAAGGGUUUGGGGCUAAAGGAUGUGAAAUUACAGAAGAGCCCAGAACGGAAGCGCGAUCUUCGCAUUUGCUAAGCUAUGUUCGCAUUUGUGAAACAUCACUUUCCUGUUGACUAUCGCAUUUGCGAUGAAAUGUUCGCAUUUGCGAACGUUGACUUUCUUGGUUGACUUCGCAUUUGUGAUGAAAUGUUCGCAUUUGCGACCCUUGAGGCCAAUUUCCAGAUUUCUGCUUUUGAGCCCCUUUGACUUUUUUUUGCUUGGUUUCUUCCCGAUCACUUCUAAAUCCCAUAAAACCUGUAAAGUAGAAGUAAACGACAUUAAACACACUAUUUUGUCUACCAAACAUAGUAAAAAUCUAAGAUUAAAGAUGAGAUAAGUUGGUAAAUUACCAACUUAUCACUCGGCAGUUUAUUAAAUUUCUCUUAUGGGAUCGGGUUGUUCGCCUCGGCAAUAUGGUAACAUUAUUCUUAUGGGAUCGAGAUGUUUUCCUCAGCAAUACUGAGUACCACUAUUACUAUGGGAUCGGGUCGUUCAUCUCUGCAGAUUCGUGCUUAAUACUUGAGACUGGAUUUGGUUUGGUAACAGUUGAGCUAGCACCUUCAAGGUCGGUUAUGACAUGUUUAGUGAUUUUAUAUAGAAUCAUGUGGGGAAUUGUUGUACAUCCUCCAUGUCUACUUUAUCUAUUUCUAUUACUGUUUGACCACUAGUAAGUGUUAAGUCGACCCCUCGACACUACUUCUUCGAGGUUAGACUAGAUACUUACUAGGUACAUACUGUUUUACGUACUCAUACUACACUUCUGUACUGAAUGUGAAGGUACUGAGACAGGUACUACCAGUGGUCACACGGGCAUGUAGCCGCACUUCUAUGGAGACUUAGUGGUGAGCUGCUUGCCUUGCUUCGAUCUGCAGCACUGGAGUCCCCCUCUGCCUUGUUUACUAUUUAUGUCUAUUGUACUUCAGACAGUAGUGGUAUUAGUUUUGUAUAUUCUCUAGAUUGCUCAUGCACUUGUGGCACCGUGUUUUGGGGGCUUCUAGCAUUUAUGUAUUGUUGUACUUAUUAUUACUAUCACUAUGGUUUAUGUAUUUCUCACGCUUGAUAUUUUGAGAAAAGAGUAUGUACAAUUGCAUGUGAUCUUACCUAUUUCGGUGUUUUAAAAAGGAAACUUAUGUUUUAAACGUUAAAAUGGAUAACUAAAUUGGAGGUUCACUAGUGGGCUUGCCUAACGACGGCAUUAGGUGCCAUUGCGACCUAUUACAGGUUUUGGGUCGUGACAUCAUAAGAUUUAGAGCUGGUUCAUGUGGAACUUGAAGCAGAAGGAUAGGUGGGCAUAUUAUCGAAGGAUAUUAUUUCUAAGGUACGAACCUCGGUAAUGCAGUCCUCUCUAUUCUCAAUGCCGGUUUUGACGUCCUCCUCAGUUUUUCUUCACAUGCUAUAGACAACAUGAGUCUUCAAGCAUAAAUUACUCCUCUAGAGCUCAGAAUCUUUCCCGGAGCUCUUGGACUUUCGACUGCAUUCGCUCAUUUUUUACCUUCAAAAUCCCAUAAGUCUCUACCGGGUCAGAAUUAGUCUUUGCAUCCUCCUGGUUUUGAUCCAUGACCUUUUAGAGCCUUUUCUCCAUUUUGGCCCUUUUCUCUUCGGCCGUGAUAGCUUCCUCGGUCUUAGAAUGCAAGUCUUUUCCAAGGCCCAGAUCGUUUCCAUGGAAGGUGACUCCCGUUCAGCAGCCGAAGUAAGAGCAUCUUAUAGCUCUGCCCACUUUCCCUUCAGCUCGGCAAGUUCAUCAUGAAGCAUGUGUUUUCUUGGUUGUAAGCUCUUUUUCUUUCUCUAUUUGCUCCAACUGGGCCUCAAGCUCUUCCAUUUGAGAAAGUUUGGCCUCUAAGGCCGAAAGACACUCAGUAAGUUGAUCACUCUCAUAUUGAAGUUCUCCCUUCUCCAAAAACAUCCUUUGGAGACCCUCAGAAGUAAGAAUAUUGGCCUAAAAGAUAAAGUUCAAAGUAAGCAGGGAAAAAGGUACCAAAAAAAAGGCAAACAGUACAUGAGUAAAGAGAUACAUGCUAUUGUUGAUAAGACACUCAGCGGAAAGAGCAUUCAUUUUCUUCCAGUCCUUCUAAGUAGCCAAGGGUUUCCUAUAAUAUUUCUACCCAGCCAUCUUAGAGAGAAUGUGACAUUCAUCCGGAAUCGUAAUGGUAAUACUAAGUUUACCAUUAGGGUCCCUGAUUGGAUCUGGAAAAGUGCUCUCCAUGUUCCCGUUAUCUGGUGACCGAGAAGGGGGGUUAGAGAACGAAUACCUUGCCUCGAUCUACAGUGAAUGAUGUUGGAGCAGAGGUUGGGACAAUACUUGAAGUAUCACCCCUUUGACCGGUAAUAGCAAUGGGAACCCAAAAGGGAGAGUCGACCAUUUCAGCUAAAUCAAACUAUUAAAAGAGUCUCUCCGUCUCCUCUGGAUGGACUGUUUUGGUUCUUUUUUUUCUUUUUCUUUGAAGAGCUAUUGUUUCAACGUCAACUUCAAUUUCUUUUUCUUUAAGGACCAAUGUAUCCAGCUAUGCAGUGAUCUCUUUUUUAUAAUGGAGGCUAUCUUUUCUCCCCCAUUUUGGAAUAUUUUCUUCUAGCCUUCUUCUCCAGAGGCCAGGGACUGGCGGAUGAUGCAGCUCCACCGGAAGAAGAUUCCGCUUCACAAGCUCCUUUUUCCGUCAAGGACUUGUUGAAGUUGUUGUUGAGUCACCUUCGGGUCAAAUGAAAUCUCGACGACCAAGCAAACAGAUGAUCCCUUGGGAAGAACUAAAAAUGGAAAACAAAAUGCAAAGAUCACAAGUCUAUUGCAAAAGAAGGUACACACUAACGAGGAGGUUGAAUGAAGGUAAUCUCACCAUGAUUCUUACACUUCUAAUUUUUCUUUAUUGAAAUUUCUUUCCACGUACGGAUUUUCGGUAUGAAAAUAUCCAAAAGAAAAAUCUAAACCCACUGUGGUAAGUCUUCAACUACUAAAGGGACCCAAUUGGUAGCUAAAAACAAGAAGAGAACGAAGUUUAAAGAGCAUGAAAAUAUCUAAGAAAAAGAACAUGCAGAUAAGAGAACGUACGAGUAUAGUUCCAUGUCUCAGGAAUUGAAGGUCCUGGUGAGGGUAUGAUGUCCUUGGAAGCGAUGGAAAUAAACGUUUUCAUCCAACCACGGUCAUUUUCAUCACCCAAACUGGUGAUGAUGGCAUUAUGACCACCCUUGCUGAGUUUGACCAUGCCUCCUCGGAAGAUCUUGGGAGAGUAGAGAUGGAUCACGUGUGCAAAGGAGAGAUUUUUUUGUGUGCGGGAGGUCAGAUACCGGAGGCAAGCUACUGUAUGUCAUACUGCCACACCCACUUGAGCUAAGCAGACUUGGUAACUCCAGCAAAACUCAAGGAUGACUGGAUCAAUUUCGUGCCUGAGCCUGAGUGUGAAAGGAUAAGUAAAUGUAUACGCUGAUUUACUGAAGGUCACCCUCUCCACGUCUAGAGGGGCCAACACUUUCAUAUCUUUCUAACCAAAAUCCUAUUUCACAAUAUGAAUGUUGGCCAGUCGAAUAGAAGAAGGGUACUCGCCGAUCGCUUUGUCCCGGUCAUUUUUUUAGGUUUGAGGAAGUGCCCUGGAUUUGGAGAUCCUUAUAAAAAGACCCUUCUUUAGGAAUGAUCGUGUUCAUGGUGGGGUGCAAUGUCAGUCUUUUUGGGUUUAUUCUUCUUGGAAGGGCCUCCACUGAUGUAAAUCCUGACGUCGGCACUUGUUGAAAGUGGGUUAGUCAUGACCACCAUGGAAUCACCUUGGUUGACGAUAGCAGACGGGUUAUCAGUGGUGGAAAUUGGAGUGCAUGGAGAAGACAUGGUGAAAUAGAUUUAAGUUUAACGGAAAAGAUGGAAAAAUUAUUUCUGGUAAUCGGAAGUUCUGCUAUAAGGAAAAAAUAGAUUGCAGAGAUUUAAAGUGUAUUGAAAGAAUUUGUAAAAAAGUAAAGUAAAAUGUGAAAAGAGUGGUAAGUUUAUAGAUGGUCUUCGAACCAAAGUCAUCAUUACCUCUGUAAAUUGCAAAACUGCUCGUCGAAUCACAAAGAGGAACGUGUCAGGAUCAAUAAAUGCAAAGUGAUGUGCAUCCUUUUGAAUGUCAGAAGCCGUUCAAUAACUUUUCCACCAAGAAAUGAGAUAUCUUAUCUAUUUUACGGUCAAAUAAAGUUGAGUCACCGGUAAAUAGGAAAAAUAUCUAUAUUGGGUAAAAUUUAGAGUCUAGAGGUGGAAACCUCAUGAGCAGACACGUGGCAAUGAUGACAGGAUGUAAGUGUGUCGCCAGCCAAAUAAUAUCAGAUAGAGUAAUGUGAUCGGGAUUAUAUAUAAAUUAGCAUAAUGACUCGAUCGAUCCUUUUUAGCAUUUACACUUCGCUCGAUAGUUUGAGGGCAUGAGUAGCUCCGUAUGAUGUAUUAUAACUUAUAUGUAUCACCGAUUAUGGUUUUCAUGUGACUCAGAAUUGAUUUUGAAGAAUGAUUCUCACUAGGAUGAUUCAAGUAGAAAGUGUUGGCCAAGCUUGACUAUUGAGUAUUUGACCUCGGAUCGGAGUUUUGAUGGUUCCGUUAGGUUAGGAUGGUUAUUUUAGACUUCGGUGUAUGCCCGGAUUUGCAUUUGGAUAUUUGUAGAAUGUUUCGGCACUAAUUAGAGAAAGUUGGCAAUUUGAAGGUUUGAAAUAUUCAUAAGUUUGACCGGGAGUUGACUUUGAUGAUAUUGGGUACGGAUUGUGGCUUUGAGAAUUGUAAUAGCUUCGUUAUUUCAGUUGGUAUUUGUGUACAAAAUUUGAGUUCAUUCCAAGUUGAUUUGAUAAGGUUCAGCACUAGUUUUGGAAGUUGAAAGAUUCAAAGUUUAUUAAGUACAAUUUGAGGUGCGGUUAGUGGUUUGAUGUUGUUAUACAUGAUUUGAGAUCUCGACUAAGUCUGUAAUAUGUUAUGGGACUUGUUGGUAUGUUCAUACGGGGUCCCGAGGGGCUCGGGUGAGUUUCGAAUGGGUUUGGUUGUGUUGCGCUCGUUUUUGAUGUUUCGACGUUGUUUCUUCAAGCAUAAAUAGUACCACAUUAAGAAAAUGAGCUCCAAUUUCUGUUUUAAUUGAAGCAUUAGAUCCGUAUCAUAAUUUUGGAACCAUAUCAACUGGAAUCAUCAAGUUUCGAUAUCGUAUGAGGAAUUUAUGGUCAUUUUACUAAGAAUUGGGUUACCAUAUUUUUUUUCAACAUAAUUACGAAAUUGCCAUUGAAUUCGUAUUUAAAAAUCUGCACUAUUUCUAAAUAUCUCCUUCAUUAUAAGGUCAAAUGGAGUGAUUCUAAAGCCUAACUUGACUUGAAUUUUACAAGAAAUUCAUUAGAGGCAUCAAAAGCGAGAUUCAGGAUCAUUUGGAACAAGAAACAAGGUAGAACAGCUGGGCAGAAACACAUAAUAUCGAGAGUUUGUUCAUUUGGUCAUAUUUUGAGUUGGGGAGCUCGGAUUUAGGCGAUUACGGAGGCGAUUUUUACCACAUGGAUUGGGGUAAGUGUUCUAUACUCAGAUUUGGUUAUAUUUCAUGAAUCCAUCUUCGGUUUUGGCAUUUGAUUUAUGAUUUCAAAGUGAAAUUUGAGGGGGUUUAUCUAAAAUUUCAUAAAGUACUUUUUUGCGUUUUGAACAUUGAUUCGGAGUCGGAUUUGAGUGAAAUUAGUAUGGUUGGACUCAUAAUUGAAUGGGUUAUUGGAUUUUGUAAGUUUUGUUGGGUUCCGAGAUACGAGCCCAAGUUUGACCUUUUGGUUGACUUUGGGGCUUUUGAUUAAAGAUUUUACCUUUAUCGAUUGGGUUUGUUUCCUUUGGCAUUAUUUGAUGUUCUUGAGUUGAUUUUGGCUAGUUCCGAGCCGUUCAGUGGUCGGUACGUGCGGGAUGGCAUUUCUAGAGUAUUGUUUGGCUUGCUCGGUAUUGGAUUUGGCAUGUUCGAGGUAAGUAACACUUCUAAACUUGGUGUUGAGGGUAUUAACCCCAAAUAUAUGCGUUAUGUGUUUGGUGUUGAGGUGACGCACAUGCUAGGUGACAGGCGUGAGGGCGUGCACCAUGUGAAUUAUGAUUCGAUUGAUUAUGUGGUACUGUGUAGUGACCUAAUCUUGUUUCUAUCCAUGAAAUUUCUACGUGCUAGAGUAAUUGAAUUGUGAUCCAUGUUAGAAAUCAUGUUUAGGCUAUAUUCUUAUCCUGUUGCAACCCGCUGAGGUCAUUUCUGUUGUUGAGUUAUUUUCUUAAAUUGCAAUAACAUAGUCAGUCAUUCUCAUUCAUUACAUAUCAUAUUUGAGUCUCUUAUAUCAUUUGUAUCAUAUUAUAUUAUCAUUGUUUGGGCCGAUUGGCAUGAGAUUUGUGAGGCCGAGAGAUUAGAGAUAUUGAUGACUUAGUGAGGCCGAGGGCCUGAUUGUGAGGAUGUUUAAGGGAUCGGGCUGCACGUCACAACAUACUUUAUUGAUUUAUGCCAUAAUUGGCUUAUAUUAACACUUGGGCAGGAUAUGCCCCUCCAGAAUCUGCACACCCACAGUGAGCGCAGGUACCUACUGAGUGCGAGUGUCGUGUGCGAGUGCGAGUGCAAGUGCAAGUGCCGAGCGCGAGUGCCGAGUGAUUGGGAGGACUGAGUGACUGAUAAUCUGAGAGUAUGCAUAUGAUUUUAUCAUUGUGUUGCAUUGCAUUCGACAUGUACACUUGACAUACAUGCAUAGAGAUGCAUUUUCCUCAUGUUGUACGGUAUUGUUUCAUUCAUGACUUCACAUAUACAUUGACAUGUAGGUAUAGAGAUGUAAUUUCCUCAUGCCAUUUGAUAAUGAAACAUCUUACCUAAUGUUGGAAGUUUUGGGAAAAAUCACAGUUUGUUUUUCCAGAUUUACUCAUAUUUUGGUGAUUUCAGUAAAAGAUUCGGGUUUUCACUAAUAUACUUGAAAGGCAUGCCUAUUUUCCGGAACUGUGAAUGAGCUGAGCAUCAUAUCUCUGAGUUAUUUCUUUUAUCACCUUUAUUAUAUUAUUAUGAACUGUUGUUGGCUAUUGGUGUUGGACUCCGACCUUUGUCCCAGCUCAUUACUACUUUCAACAUAAGGAGGGGUUUGUUACUUAUUGAGUACAUGGGGCCGGUUGUACUCAUACUACACUUCUGCACCUUGCGUGCAGAUUUUGGAGCUGAUAUUACUGCUUAUGGCGGGAGUUAGUUUUGAAGAUAUACCUACAUUCUGGUUGUAGCUGCCACUUAUUGAUGGUAGCUUUAGAUUUAUAAAGAAUCUGUUUAUGUACAUUUCAAAUAAAUGAUGUAUUUAUUUCAUACUAAUUUUGUAAACUCUAAAUCUUAGAAGCCCGUGAUUUGUACUACCAAUCCUUGGAAUUGUUUUGUAUAAAAGUUCAGUUGUAUUAUCAUUACUUCUGUUAGAAAAUCGCAUUUGAAUUGAAAGGUUGCUAAUUGGCUUAACUAGCAGUUGGGGGUUAGGUGCCAUCACGGCUAGUUGGAUUUUGGGUCGUGACAAGUUGGUAUAAGAGCUCUCGGUUCAAAUGUUCUACGAGUCAUAAGAAAGUAUCUAGUAGAGUCUUGCGGAUCGGUAUGAUGACGUUCAUGCCUAUCUUCGAGAGGCUAUUGGAUAAACUUCCCGUCUUUCUUUCCUUAUCGUGCGGCAUUGAUUAAGCUUGAAGCGUAUCUCUUUGAAUUUCUUUCCACUCACUCGUAUGCGUAUGUGAGAGCUCGAUAUCAGUUGUACAUCGACCGCUUGUGGAUUCCAUGGAUGAGGUGCGGGAUGUGUUUUUGUGCUUUGGUGAUGGCUAGUUUGGAUGACUUGAGUCCCGGUUUGGACCGCAACUUAGGCUCGGUAGUUUCAGUUGUGAGAGCUUUGUGCUUUUGGACUUCUAUGUCCAGUGGUGUCCCUAUGAGUGGGAUUGGUGGCUCGGUGAGUGCUUGGAUGGCUAUAUGAUGAGUAGGAUGUGACUGCGGGAUGUGUUCAGAUGGUUUGAAUGUGACGGAAAAAGUUUGCUUGAGAUGUGAAAAGCACUAUUGGAUGCACAAUUUCUAUGAAUGUGUCAUACAGUCUUUCUUUUGUAAAAAGGACUAUUGGAUGCACGAUUUCUACGAAUGUGUCAUGAAGUCUUGAGUCUGCAUCAACAGUUCACGUCCCCAAUUCUCCAAUCCACCAGCCUUCCCUUUUCCUUCAUCCACAAAAUUGAUAGCUUCGGAAAAAUCUCUUUCCAAUUCACUUCAGAAAGAGAAAAUGACAAGAGUGAGUGAAAAGAGAAAAAUACACAAAUCCUGAAGAAUCCCAUAAAUUCAAACAUGAGAGGUUUUUGAAUAUAGAAGACGUAAAAAAAAUUAGAUGAACCCGGGUGUUCUCAAUACAAACUAAAAUGAAAUUAAAAAAUAAUAAUAAUAAACAUAAUCGCAAAUUACAACUAUAGAGAGAAUCGCAAGCAACAAUAGAAGAAAUCAUCGGAUUAAACAUUGGAUAUUUGUUAAAUUCAGUAGUUUCAUGGAUAGAAAGAAACUUAGUUAAAUUCAUGAAAGUUGAUAAUGUAGUCAUUUGUAGAUAUGGAUAGACUAUUUCAUGACAUUCGAACAUAGAAAAACAGUUAUGUAUAACCAGACUAAAAACAACAUAUAUAACAAACUGACAAGAAUAAAAACUCAAUAUAUGAAAUCUAUAUACUUAAGGUCAAGAGUUCUAAUUCACAAACAAUUUGAAAUUUGGACAGUACAAACAUGGCAUGGCAGAGCAAAAUCAAAAGUAAAUACGAAAGUACUCUAAAAAAAGGUUAUAGUAAAUAGUAGUAAUAGUAGUGCUAAUACUAAAUAUCAAAACCAUAAGACAAACCCCAAAUAAGAAAAUAUAAGCGGGAUCCAAAUUCUUACUAAUUGUUUUACAAAUUUUGAAACAAACACCAUAGGAAUUUACCAAAGCAGAGGAAAAUUAGAAGAACCAACAAUUGGUAUACUUUCAUAGCCUGCAGAAAUGUUGUUUUCAUGUCACCUCGGUAGAGAAAAAGAAUGAUAUCAAUCCAAUUUCACAAAACAAUUUCACACAAAAAAGUAGCAAAAAGCAAGCUAAGCACAGAUCCGAAAACUACAGACAUAGCAAAUGAAACCCUAGAUCUACAUGAAUAAAUAAGCUAAGUAUAGAUUCAACAAUUACAUAGACAAAGCAAAUGAAACCCUAGAUCUACAAUCUGCAUUAAUAAAUAAGCAGUAACUAAAUAGCGAAAAUGAGAGAAAAAUUGAAAGGACCUCGGUGAAUUUUGUUUGUAGAUUGAGGUUGAAGAACACCUCGGAAGCUUUAUUGGAGACCAACGGCUUCCAAUCGAGAUCCUUGGUGAGACGAGGGAGUCGCAAGCUACGGCGACUGGCGAUCUCCCCCAUAUCGAUAAGAGGGAGAGAGAGAGAGAGAGAGGAAAUUGCAAGACUAAGGUUUAUUUGGGAGGAGUGAGGGUGUUCUAAUUUUUGGUCUAAGCGGCAGAGGGAGUCUAAAAAUUUGUUGAGAGAAAUUUUUUGGUCUGAACAAGUUGACGAAAAUACUUUUAAAAUAAUAAUUAAACAUAGUGGCGGUUGCAGCGAUUAGCAACCACCGUGAUAAACCUCAACCGUC
This 9897-nucleotide long non-coding RNA is filed under the name Nicotiana tabacum (common tobacco). Its description in RNAcentral is "long non-coding RNA (NTAB_LNC013778)". The record is from RNAcentral. Lineage: Eukaryota; Viridiplantae; Streptophyta; Magnoliopsida; Solanales; Solanaceae.